This 253-nucleotide ribosomal RNA is filed under the name uncultured bacterium. RNAcentral describes it as "partial 16S ribosomal RNA". It matches the Rfam family "Bacterial small subunit ribosomal RNA", at positions 524 to 776 of the family's 1533-position model. The record is from RNAcentral.
UACGUAGGGGGCAAGCGUUGUCCGGAAUCAUUGGGCGUAAAGCGCGUGUAGGCGGCUCGGUAAGUCUGCUGUGAAAGUCCAGGGCUCAACCCUGGGAUGCCGGUGGAUACUGUCGAGCUCGAGUCCGGAAGAGGCGAGUGGAAUUCCUGGUGUAGCGGUGAAAUGCGCAGAUAUCCGGAAGAACACCGGUGGCGAAGGCGGUCUGCUGGGGUAAUGCUGACACUGAUGCGCGACAGCGUGGGGAGCAAACAGG